UUGACGGCUGUGGAGAAUGAAGUCUUUUAUUUAGUCAUAGAACUGGUACUGUAUGGGCAGCACUGGUGCAAGCUUUCCACACUCACCAAUGUGCUUCAGCCAUGAUGCGGAGGGAGUAGCUAUGGGGACACAAAGGCAAUGCAGUCGCCAUGUACAUUUGGUCCUUGGCCUCU
This 173-nucleotide small RNA is filed under the name Gopherus agassizii (Agassiz's desert tortoise). Its description in RNAcentral is "TUC338 (ENSGAGG00000005797.1)". Lineage: Eukaryota; Metazoa; Chordata; Testudines; Testudinidae. The record is from RNAcentral.